This 2831-nucleotide ribosomal RNA is filed under the name Faecalibacterium prausnitzii. RNAcentral's name for it is "Bacterial large subunit ribosomal RNA". It matches the Rfam family "Bacterial large subunit ribosomal RNA". The record is from RNAcentral. Lineage: Bacteria; Bacillati; Bacillota; Clostridia; Eubacteriales; Oscillospiraceae.
GUCAAGCGAACAAGGGCGCAGGGCGAAUGCCUUGGCACUGGGAGCCGAUGAAAGACGUGAUAAGCUGCGAUAAGCUUCGGGGAGCUGCAAAUAAGCAUUGAUCCGGAGAUUUCUGAAUGAGGAAACUCACCUGGGUUCAUACUCAGGUACGUUAUACUGAACUUAAAAAUAGGUAUAUCGAGGGAACCGCCUGAACUGAAACAUCUAAGUAGGGCGAGGAAGAGACAUCAAACGAGAUUCCGUAAGUAGUGGCGAGCGAACGCGGAAGAGGGCAAACCGGAAGUAGAAAUACUUCCGGGGUACGGACCGCAUUUAGGACUUGAGUUGUUAACCGAACGGCAUGGGAAGGCCGGUCAGAGAGUGUGAGAACCACGUAGGUGAAAACGACAAGAGCUGAGCGAGUUCCAGAGUACGGCCAGACACGUGAAACCUGGUCGGAAUAUGGGGGGACCACCCUCCAACCCUAAAUACUACCCAGUGACCGAUAGCGUAUAGUACUGUGAAGGAAAGGUGAAAAGCACCCCGGGAGGGGAGUGAAAAAGAACCUGAAACCCUGUGCCUACAAGCACCUAGAGCACGUCAAUGUGUGAUAGGGUACUUUUUGUAGAACGGUCCGGCGAGCGAUUGUAUGCAGCAAGGUUAAGGACUUAAGGUCUGGAGCCGAAGCGAAAGCGAGUUUGAAAAGGGCGUUAAGUUGCAUACAAUGGGCCCGAAACCGGGUGACCUACCCAUGGUCAGGUUGAAGUGGAAGUAAAAUUCCAUGGAGGACCGAACCGACCUCCGUUGAAAAGGCGGCGGAUGAACUGUGGGUAGCGGAGAAAUUCCAAUCGAACCCGGAGAUAGCUGGUUCUCCCCGAAAUAGUUUUAGGACUAGCCUCAAGUUAGAUACCUGGAGGUAAAGCACUGAAUAGCCUAGCGGCCGAGAGGUUAGCGAAGCUUAUCAAACUCAGAAUGCCAGAGUAUUGAUGCUUGGGAGUCAGACAGUGUCAGAUAAAUGUCAUUGUCAAAAGGGAAACAGCCCAGAUCUACAGCUAAGGUCCCAAAGUCAGGUUAAGUGGAAAACGAUGUGAAGAUACGUAGACAACCAGGAUGUUGGCUCAGAAGCAGCCACACAUUCAAAGAGUGCGUAAUAGCUCACUGGUCGAGCGUCUUUGCGCGGAGAAUUUAACGGGGCUAAACCUGACACCGAAGCUUAGGCAAUACAGCAAUGUAUUGGGUAGGGGAGCGUUGUAUACGCGGUGAAACAGUAGCGCAAGCGGCUGUGGAGUGUAUAGAAGUGAGAAUGCCGGAAUGAGUAGCGCGAAUGCAGUGAGAAUCUGCAUGGCCGAAAGCCUCAGGUUUCUGGAGGAAGGUUCGUCCGCUCCAGGUUAGUCGGGAGCUAAGGUGAGGCCUAACGGCGUAGCCGAUGCACAGACGGUAGAGAUUCCGUCACCACCAAAAGAGUUAAACACAGGGACACAUUUGAAGUCUCGGAGCCGGGUGUUGGUUCCGGUAGCGAUCGAGGGAAGUUAGUACCGAAGUCCGGGAUGGAAGAUGGCGAGAAAAGCUGUGUGUAUUUCUGCGGUGCCCGUACCGCAAACCGACACAGGUAGGUAGGAAGAAGAUUCUAAGGCCAACGGGAGAAGGGUUGUUAAGGAACUCGGCAAAUUGACCCCGUAACUUCGGGAGAAGGGGUGCUCCAGAGAUGGAGCCGCAGAGAAUCGGCCCAAGCAACUGUUUACCAAAAACACAGGUUUGUGCUAAAUCGAAAGAUGACGUAUACGAGCUGACGCCUGCCCGGUGCUGGAAGGUUAAGAGGAGAUGUGCAAGCAUUGAAUCGAAGCCCCAGUGAACGGCGGCCGUAACUAUAACGGUCCUAAGGUAGCGAAAUUCCUUGUCAGGUAAGUUCUGACCCGCAUGAAAGGCGUAAUGAUUUGGGCACUGUCUCGACAGCCCGCCCGGCGAAAUUGUAGUACCGGUGAAGAUGCCGGUUACCCGCGACAAGACGGAAAGACCCCAUGGAGCUUUACUGUAGCCUAAUAUUGGGUUUCGAUGUUGCAUGCACAGGAUAGAUGGGACACAGGGAAACAAGUGCUUUGGCAUUUGUGGAGUGGCCGUUGGGAUACCAUCCUUGCGAUAUUGGAAUUCUAACCUGCGCCUUUGAAUCAAGGCGGGGGACAUUGUUAGGUGGGCAGUUUGACUGGGGCGGUCGCCUCCUAAAGAGUAACGGAGGCGUUCAAAGGUUCGCUCAGCUUGAACGGAAAUCAAGCAAAAGAGUGCAAACGCAGAAGCGAGCCUAACUGCGAGACUGACGGGUCGAGCAGUAACGAAAGUUGGAGUUAGUGAUCCGGUGGUAUGUGAGUGGAAAUGCCAUCGCUCAACGGAUAAAAGUUACCCUGGGGAUAACAGGCUGAUCUCCCCCAAGAGUCCACAUCGACGGGGAGGUUUGGCACCUCGAUGUCGGCUCAUCGCAUCCUGGGGCUGUAUUCGGUCCCAAGGGUUUGGCUGUUCGCCAAUUAAAGCGGUACGCGAGCUGGGUUCAGAACGUCGUGAGACAGUUCGGUCCCUAUCUGUCGUGGGCGCAGGAUAUUUGAUGGGAGCUGUUCCUAGUACGAGAGGACCGGAGCGGACGUACCUCUGGCGCACCAGUUGUUCUGCCAAGGGCAUAGCUGGGCAACUAUGUACGGAUCGGAUAAACGCUGAAAGCAUCUAAGCGUGAAGCCGACCCAAAGAUAAGAUAUCCCAUUGUUUCAAACAAGUAAGACCCCUUGAAGACUACAAGGUUGAUAGGCACGAUGUGUAAGUGGAGCGAUCCAUUCAGCAAGCGUGUACUAAUAGGUCGAGGGCUUGAC